AGCAGCCGCGGUAAUUCCAGCUCCAAUAGCGUAUAUUAAAGUUGUUGCAGUUAAAAAGCUCGUAGUUGAAUUUCGGGAUUGGCGCAUCGGUCGUGCCUCACGGGGUAUGAACUGGUACAGUCAAUUUCUCACCUUCUGGAGAACCGCGAUGUCCUUAAUUGGAUGCCGCGGGGAACCAGGACCUUUACUUUGAAAAAAAGUUAGAGUGUUUUAAAAGCAGGCAUUUUUUGCUUGAAUACAUUAGCAUGGAAUAAUAAAAUUAGGACGGCAUGGUUCUAUUUUUGUUGGUUUCUAGGACCACCGUAAUGAUUAAUAGGGAUAGUUGGGGGGCAUUAGUAUUCAAUUGUCAGAGGUGAAAUUCUUGGAUUUAUUGAAGACUAACUACUGCGAAAGCAUUUUGCCAAGGAUGUUUUUCAUUAAUCAAGAACGAAAGUUAGGGGAUCGAAGACGAUCAGAUACCGUCGUAGUCUUAACCAUAAACUAUGCCGACUAGGAAUCAGACGAUGUUAAUUUUUUUC
RNAcentral lists this ribosomal RNA (518 nucleotides) under uncultured Entrophospora. Its description in RNAcentral is "uncultured Claroideoglomus partial 18S ribosomal RNA". It matches the Rfam family "Eukaryotic small subunit ribosomal RNA", at positions 569 to 1074 of the family's 1831-position model. The record is from RNAcentral. Lineage: Eukaryota; Fungi; Glomeromycota; Glomeromycetes; Entrophosporales; Entrophosporaceae.